Molecule: ribosomal RNA, 892 nt
Filed under: Cibicides refulgens
Lineage: Eukaryota; Foraminifera; Rotaliida; Cibicididae
Description: small subunit ribosomal RNA
Rfam family: Eukaryotic small subunit ribosomal RNA
Source: RNAcentral
UAUAUAUUUGAUUACAUCGAAWWCACCCUUAAAAUUUAUUCCCCUUUUCAACCCUGUGAACAAAUCAGAGUGUAUCAAACAUGUCGUUUUGAAUGUGCAUUGAAUGUCUUAUCAUGGGAUGUUGCACUUCCUACGUUAAAAAUUUAUGGCUUCGACGCAUAAUUUUUACACACACACACAUGUUAUAUGCCACGUAAAUAAUUUUUAACGGUUAAAAAAUGUCGAUGGGGAUAGUUGGAGUCAACAGUACUGCUGGGCGAGAGGUGAAAUUCAUUGAUCCUAGCAAGACUACCAAAAGNGAAAGCAGUUGGCUAGGCUAUACUCUUUGUGAUUUAUACGUAUAUUUUUAUUAUGCAUUACACACACACACACACACACACUGCAUAUAUAUAUAUAUAUAGUAUAAUAUACACUUUACAAUGAAGAACGAAGGUUGGGGGAUCAAAGAGGAUCAGAUACCCUCGUCGUCCCAUUAAUUACAUCAAACGAUGGGCUCUCAAUUGCAUUUUUCAUUAAAUUGCAAACUUCCUCAGCCUACAAAAUAACUUGGCUUGAGCUCGUAUUUUUUUUAAUACGCUCGCCUAAUUUUUUUCGUACGGUCUCGAUGGACGUUUCAUUUAAAUUUUUUUGCGUGUAAGCAUUUGUUAUUCUUUGAAACAUAAGAAUGCAUUGCGUGCACUUGAUUUUCGGAGCUUUGCGCUCAAUUCUGGUGAGAUGUAAGCACUAUGUUAUACUAUCCGCAGCAUAUGUCUUCGGACAUUUUGUCUGUCGUGUUUAGUUAACUUUUAAAGUGUGAAGCACGCUUUAGGCACGCGCUUACUGCAGAAAUGUCUGAGACAUUCCCCUCCGGGGGUAGUAUGCACGCAAGUGUGAAACUUGAAGGAAUUGACGG